AUGCUAGGAUACAUUAGCACAUCCAACUCACUAGAAGGCAAAAAUACGGAAUUUCCAUGUUUUAUCUAUGAAGACAUACUUUCAGGAACAAAUUUUUUUGCGGAUUCCAAUUUGCUUGGACGUGGAGGUUUUGGCAAAGUUUACAAGGGCACAAUGGAAGGUGGAAAAGAAGUUGCUGUCAAAAGGCUUAGUAAGAGUUCUGGGCAAGGUAUAGUGGAGUUCAAAAAUGAAGUAGUUCUCAUUGCAAAACUGCAGCACAAGAAUCUAGUCAAACUUCUCGGCUGCUGCAUUCAUGAAGAUGAGAAGUUAUUGGUCGACGAGUACAUAACUAAAAAAAGUUGGACGCCUUUCUUUUUGAUCAUGCACGAAAACAUGUGCUCGAUUGGUUGA
RNAcentral lists this ribosomal RNA (390 nucleotides) under Triticum aestivum (bread wheat). Its description in RNAcentral is "partial small subunit ribosomal RNA". Lineage: Eukaryota; Viridiplantae; Streptophyta; Magnoliopsida; Poales; Poaceae. The record is from RNAcentral.